RNAcentral lists this ribosomal RNA (256 nucleotides) under uncultured bacterium. RNAcentral's name for it is "partial 16S ribosomal RNA". It matches the Rfam family "Bacterial small subunit ribosomal RNA", at positions 524 to 777 of the family's 1533-position model. The record is from RNAcentral.
UACGGAGGAUCCGAGCGUUAUCCGGAUUUAUUGGGUUUAAAGGGUGCGUAGGCGGCCUAUUAAGUCAGGGGGUGAAAGACGGUAGCUUAACUAUCACAGUGCCUUUGAUACUGAUAGGCUUGAAUGUACUUGAGGUAGGCGGAAUGUGACAAGUAGCGGUGAAAUGCAUAGAUAUGUCACAGAACACCAAUUGCGAAGGCAGCUUACUAAAGUAUGAUUGACGCUGAGGCACGAAAGCGUGGGGAGUCAAACAGGA